RNAcentral lists this ribosomal RNA (498 nucleotides) under uncultured bacterium. RNAcentral describes it as "partial 16S ribosomal RNA". It matches the Rfam family "Bacterial small subunit ribosomal RNA", at positions 30 to 523 of the family's 1533-position model. The record is from RNAcentral.
AUUGAACGCUGGCGGCAUGCCUUACACAUGCAAGUCGAACGGUAACAGGUCUUCGGAUGCUGACGAGUGGCGAACGGGUGUGUAAUACAUCGGAACGUGCCUAGUAGUGGGGGAUAACUACUCGAAAGAGUGGCUAAUACCACAUGAGAUCUACGGAUGAAAGCAGGGGAUCGCAAGACCUUGUGCUACUAGAGCGGCCGAUGGCAGAUUAGGUAGUUGGUGGGAUAAAAGCUUACCAAGCCGACGAUCUGUAGCUGGUCUGAGAGGACGACUAACCACACUGGGACUGGGACACGGCCCAGACUCCGACGGGAGGCAGCAGUGGGGAAUUUUGGACAAUGGGCGAAAGCCUGAUCCAGCAAUGCCGCGUGCAGGAUGAAGGCCUUCGGGUUGUAAACUGCUUUUGUACGGAACGAAAAGCCCUGGGUUAAUACCCUGGGGUCGUGACGGUACCGUAAGAAUAAGCACCGGCUAACUACGUGCCAGCCGCCGCGGUAA